UGGGAAUCCUGAGUCAUGCAUUUUAUUCACUUCUCUGGAACGAGUUUUGGGGGCUCAUUUAGCAGAGAAAAUAGGACAAGAAAAAUGGACUCAGCUGGCAUUGGACAGAGUCAAAGCCAAAUGACUUCUGGGUUCUAAAUUUUUUUGUUUUGUCUUUAUUCAUACGUGUUGGUUGUUUGGAUUGUUUUUCAUUGACCAUUGUAAGCUAAAUCCAUAUCAGGAGGAUCUGAAAAGCUCAUAAUAAAAAUAUAAAGUAGAGACCAAGGGUUGUAAAAGUGGCAUUUUACUCAAGAUAUAGUAAGGCUGUUUUACAAUAGUGGGUAGUAAUCAAUAAUUUAAAUGAAAACCCUCAAGGGUUAGAUGAUGAUAGAGCUGAUGUUCUUCUUAUUGACCAAGAUGCACCAACCAGUCUUGAAGAGGAUCUCGUUUUGUAAAGGAGCCAUGCAGAAGAAGAAUUCCCAGAGGGAGCCUAAUGUCUGUGAAAUGUCAUAUAUUGCUUACACAGAAACCAGUUACUCAAAGAGCUAUGCUGUUCUUAUGCCCUGUGAUGGAUCUACUGGGGAUAGAGAUAAGAGCCUGUCUGCCUGCCUCAGCCUGUGCACCUGAUCGUUCUUUUCCUGAAGCAACUUGUCAUGCCUUCACAGUGCACACCUGACCAGUUCCAAACCAAAAAGGGAUGUGCCUGGACGUGUGUGGAUAGAUGGCUGAGGGAGACAUUAUUGUUGUUGAUAUAUAUCUAGAAAAAGGAGAUUUAUUAUAAGCCAUUGGCUCACAUGAUUAUGGGGGUCAAGAAGUCCUACAAUUUGCCAUCUGCAAGCUGGGGAUUCAGGAAGCCUAGUGCUGUAGUUCAAAGGCCCAAGAACUGGAGAGCCAAUGGUGUGGAUUCCAGUCCAGUCUGAAAGCCUGAGGACUAGAAGCGCAGAGGGCAGAAGAUCCAUGUCCCAACUCAAGCAGUCAGGCAGUUCUUCCACCCAAGAACUCAGAAGCCAAUGUGCUAAGACCUGGCUGAG
This 1010-nucleotide long non-coding RNA is filed under the name Homo sapiens (human). RNAcentral describes it as "HSALNT0265710". Lineage: Eukaryota; Metazoa; Chordata; Mammalia; Primates; Hominidae. The record is from RNAcentral.